AAUAGAUACCCGGGUAGUCCUGGCCGUAAACGAUGACCACUAGAUGUGUGGGGUAUCGACCCCCUACGUGUCGUAAGCAAACGCGAUAAGUGGUCCGCCUGGGGAGUACGGUCGCAAGAUUAAAACUCAAAGGAAUUGACGGGGACCCGCACAAGCAGCGGAGCGUGUGGUUUAAUUCGAUGCAACGCGAAGCACCUUACCAGGGCUUGACAUGCUCUUGCACCGCCCGUAACGGGGCGUGCUCGCAAGGGACAGGAGCAACAGGUGCUGCAUGGCUGUCGUCAGCUCGUGUCGUGAGAUGUUGGGUUAAGUCCCGCAACGAGCGCAACCCCCAUGGCUAGUUGUACUUCUCUAGUCAGACUGCCACUCUCAAAGUGGAGGAAGUGGGGAUGACGUCAAGUCAGCACGGCCCUUAGUCCUGGGCGACACACACGCUACAAUGGCCGAGACAACGAGUCGCCAACCCGCGAGGGGGAGCCGAAUCUCAGCAAACUCGGUCUCAGUUCAGAUUGCAGGCUG
This 519-nucleotide ribosomal RNA is filed under the name uncultured bacterium. RNAcentral describes it as "bacterial SSU rRNA". It matches the Rfam family "Bacterial small subunit ribosomal RNA", at positions 777 to 1307 of the family's 1533-position model. The record is from RNAcentral.